AUUUUAAACAUCAAAUAUAAAGAUUUUUAAAUCUUUUUUUAUAA
Molecule: transfer RNA, 44 nt
Filed under: Polistes japonicus
Lineage: Eukaryota; Metazoa; Arthropoda; Insecta; Hymenoptera; Vespidae
Description: partial tRNA-Leu
Source: RNAcentral